This 403-nucleotide ribosomal RNA is filed under the name uncultured soil bacterium. Its description in RNAcentral is "bacterial SSU rRNA". It matches the Rfam family "Bacterial small subunit ribosomal RNA", at positions 26 to 432 of the family's 1533-position model. The record is from RNAcentral.
AGAUUGAACGCUGGCGGCAUGCCUUACACAUGCAAGUCGAACGGUAGAGUAGCAAUACUCGAGAGUGGCGAACGGGUGAGUAAUAUAUCGGAACGUGCCCAGUCGUGGGGGAUAACGUAGAGAAAUUUACGCUAAUACCGCAUACGAUCUACGGAUGAAAGCGGGGGAUUCGCAAAGAACCUCGCGCGAUUGGAGCGGCUGAUAUCAGAUUAGGUUGUUGGUGAGGUAAAAGCUCACCAAAGCCGACGAUCUGUAGCUGGUUUGAGAGAACGACCAGCCACACUGGGACUGAGACACGGCCCAGACUCCUACGGGAGCAGCAGUGGGGGAAUUUGGACAAUGGGCGAAAAGCCUGAUCCAGCAAAUGCCGCGUGCAGGAAGAAAGGCCUCGGUUGUAACGUAG